UCUGUAGCUCAGUUGGUAGAGCAGGGGACUGAAAAUCCCCGUGUCGUUGGUUCGAUUCCGACCGGA
Molecule: transfer RNA, 66 nt
Filed under: Pseudoflavonifractor capillosus
Lineage: Bacteria; Bacillati; Bacillota; Clostridia; Eubacteriales; Oscillospiraceae
Also listed under: 7 other names
Rfam family: tRNA
About the family: Transfer RNA (tRNA) molecules are approximately 80 nucleotides in length.
Source: RNAcentral